GCUCAUAGCGUAUAUUAAGUUGUUGCAGUUAAAAAGCUCGUAGUUGAAUUUCGGGGUUAGUAGGUUGGUCAUGCCUCUGGUAUGUACUGGUCUCACUGAUUCCUCCUUCCUGAUGAACCGUAAUGCCAUUAAUUUGGUGUUGCGGGGAAUUUGGACUGUUACUUUGAAAAAAUUAGAGUGUUUUAAAGCAGGCC
This 194-nucleotide ribosomal RNA is filed under the name uncultured Glomus. RNAcentral's name for it is "partial small subunit ribosomal RNA". It matches the Rfam family "Eukaryotic small subunit ribosomal RNA", at positions 590 to 786 of the family's 1831-position model. Lineage: Eukaryota; Fungi; Glomeromycota; Glomeromycetes; Glomerales; Glomeraceae. The record is from RNAcentral.